GCGAUAGUCAUGCAUUCUACACGUUGCUUAGCAAGUUUAUUACUUCCAAGACUCCUCCUUCCAUGGAACAACAAUGGUGGUGUCUUCUUCAGCUUACUCCCCAUGAACCCACCGUUGCCGAGCUUCGUUGACCAGCUCCUAGUAGCGGGUAGUACUCCGUUGGUGCAGCGAGACGCGGCCAUGGAGACACCCGGCAUCGUUGACCAGCUCCUCGUAGCAGGUAGUACUCCGUUGGUGCAGCGAGACGCGGCCAUGGAGAACCGGGUGUCGGCUGAUACUGCCAUGUCGUAGUUGACAAAUUUGCAGUAAAAUGGGAAGGGGGGAAUCUCUUCAGUAUAUGAAAGCUUUAGUAGAGAAGUAUGCUUACGUUGGAUGAAUGUAAUUGGAGGAAUGGUGCCACGUUAUCCAAAUUCAUUUGUAUCCACCAGUUCUCUUCUUUCUUUGUCUUUGGAGUUUUGUUUGUUUGUUGGUUUGUAUUUUUUGGGUUGGGGGGAAGAGGGAAGGGCUCUCUGCUGUGUUCUUUCUUGUCA
Molecule: long non-coding RNA, 530 nt
Filed under: Linum usitatissimum (flax)
Lineage: Eukaryota; Viridiplantae; Streptophyta; Magnoliopsida; Malpighiales; Linaceae
Description: long non-coding RNA (LUSI_LNC004858)
Source: RNAcentral